AGACUGCAAAACAAGCCAUGUGUUAGGGAAAGAUGACUAAAAUACUUGUUCACUGUAGACACUGCUGUCUAAGUUUGUUCCCAGCCAAACCCUUAAAACUAUUUAUAAAACUUUUUAUCAGAAGGAUGUAUGCAUCAUACUGAAACUUGGAACUAUUUUACAGUUAUUGGACAUUGUGCUGGGGGAACUGGGAUAUUGCUAGUUGUGGGUUUCUGUCACGUUCCCAACCACUAUGAAAAGAAGCUUUGAUGAGAGGUGGUUGAUUCAUGCUGUACAUUCCAAACAAAUCCACUUAUUUUCUGCAUCAUAUCUUGGGGAAAUGAAAGUCCAUGGAAAUGAACUGCACUGGCUGGUUUUGUGUGUCAAGUUGAUUCAAGCUGCAGUUAUUGCAGAGAAGGGAGCCUGCCUUGAGGAAAUACUUCCAUGAGAUCCAGCUGUAAGGUUUGCUGAGAAACAUUGUAAAUUCAAGAUACUCAUUAAAAACUACAAGUAGAAUAAACUCAGAAAUGCACAUCUGGACACACAGUGAAGGCAUACAACAACGAAAACAGAAGAAAUGAAAGCACCAAGAAAACACUGAUCUACAAUGUUCAAAGAAUCACACUGAGCUACAUGCUCAUCAGACACAAUAAAGGAAAUAAAACAUGCUUGAGUAAAGAAAACUGGAGAGAAUUCACUGCUGGAGACAUCCUUUACAGGAAGUCCUUACGGAAAGCUUUCAGACUGAGAAGCAUAAUUACAUUCAUCAGAAUGCUGAUUGUUAAAAACAAACACCAGUAAAGGUAACCAUGUCAUCUCUCAUCUGCUGAUGCUCACGCUCAGUCAGUUCCUGGUCGCCGUCCUGGUCAUACUUAGUGAAUAUGGCCUCAAUUUCAGCAUCUGUAUGGCCCUUCCUGAAAGUAUUGAGAGAACUGAAGUGAGUUUCUUCUGCACAUGGUCCAGCCCUAACACUGAAACAUCAGAAUGCAGGAGGGAGACAUACAGCGUGUUCCAGGAAAAUAUCUGCUUCCCUGAAUGAAAAACUUUCUACCAGUACUUGGGGCUGAAACAUCCUCUCAUCACCGAGAAUUAGCACAUGGCCCUCACCCUUUCAGGUCUUGCCGAAGUUCAUCAAAGUUUAGCUUGCCGCCACCUUGCCGGAGACUUUCUGAAAUGGCAUCUACUGUGUUUCUUUUAAGUUUUAGUUUGACCAGUGCUUUUUGGCAGCCCUAUUGGAAAAAGAGAAAGAAAAGAAAAACAUACUACAUGGUUUUGUUUAUUCCCCUUUUGGAUUUUUGUCUUUCAGUUACAGUGGAACUAACGAAAGUUCAGCAUUUAGUGGAUGAUGGCUUUCAAGAAAAAUGAGUUGAUGAAAGUAAUGAAUGUAAUCUCAGUCUUUUAUAAAACUGAAGAAAACUUUCAAUAAACCAGGAACUAAGAACCUCCUCCAUA
Mastomys coucha (southern multimammate mouse) is the source of this 1431-nucleotide long non-coding RNA. RefSeq lists it as uncharacterized. NCBI's taxonomy places the organism in Eukaryota, Metazoa, Chordata, Mammalia, Rodentia, Muridae. The record is from RefSeq and is a predicted model, not a curated record. The transcript has 4 exons.